GAUGAACGCUGGCGGCGUGCCUAAUACAUGCAAGUCGAGCGAACAGAUGAGGAGCUUGCUCCUCUGACGUUAGCGGCGGACGGGUGAGUAACACGUGGAUAACCUACCUAUAAGACUGGGAUAACUUCGGGAAACCGGAGCUAAUACCGGAUAAUAUAUUGAACCGCAUGGUUCAAUAGUGAAAGACGGUUUUGCUGUCACUUAUAGAUGGAUCCGCGCCGCAUUAGCUAGUUGGUAAGGUAACGGCUUACCAAGGCAACGAUGCGUAGCCGACCUGAGAGGGUGAUCGGCCACACUGGAACUGAGACACGGUGCAGACUCCUACGGGAGGCAGCAGUAGGGAAUCUUCCGCAAUGGGCGAAAGCCUGACGGAGCAACGCCGCGUGAGUGAUGAAGGUCUUCGGAUCGUAAAACUCUGUUAUUAGGGAAGAACAAAUGUGUAAGUAACUAUGCACGUCUUGACGGUACCUAAUCAGAAAGCCACGGCUAACUACGUG
RNAcentral lists this ribosomal RNA (497 nucleotides) under uncultured bacterium. RNAcentral's name for it is "partial 16S ribosomal RNA". It matches the Rfam family "Bacterial small subunit ribosomal RNA", at positions 28 to 507 of the family's 1533-position model. The record is from RNAcentral.